AGCGAACGCUGGCGGCAGGCUUAACACAUGCAAGUCGAACGGGCAUCUUCGGAUGUCAGUGGCAGACGGGUGAGUAACACGUGGGAACGUACCCUUCGGUUCGGAAUAACUCAGGGAAACUUGAGCUAAUACCGGAUACGCCCUUUUGGGGAAAGGUUUACUGCCGAAGGAUCGGCCCGCGUCUGAUUAGCUUGUUGGUGGGGUAACGGCCUACCAAGGCGACGAUCAGUAGCUGGUCUGAGAGGAUGAUCAGCCACACUGGGACUGAGACACGGCCCAGACUCCUACGGGGGGCAGCAGUGGGGAAUAUUGGACAAUGGGCGCAAGCCUGAUCCAGCCAUGCCGCGUGAGUGAUGAAGGCCUUAGGGUUGUAAAGCUCUUUUGUCCGGGACGAUAAUGACGGUACCGGAAGAAUAAGCCCCGGCUAACUUCGU
Molecule: ribosomal RNA, 434 nt
Filed under: uncultured bacterium
Lineage: Bacteria
Description: partial 16S ribosomal RNA
Rfam family: Bacterial small subunit ribosomal RNA
Source: RNAcentral